GUAGCAUAAUCAUUAGUCAUUUAAUUGAUGACUUGUAUGAAAGAUUGGAUGAAAUAUAAACUGUCUCUUAAUUAUUUAUAUAAAAUUUAAUUUUUUAAUUAAAAAGUUAAAAUAAUUUAAAAAGACGAGAAGACCCUAUAGAGUUUUAUAUUUAAAUUAAUUAAGAUUAUUUUAAUUUUAAAAUUAAAAUUAAUUUAUAUAUUAUAUUGGGGUGAUAGAAAAAUAUAUAUAACUUUUUUUUUUAUGUAAAACAUUUAUAAGUGAUUAAAUGAUCCAAUAAUAUUGAUUAUAAGAAAAAGUUACCUUAGGGAUAACAGCGUAAUUUUUUUUUUUAGUUCAUAUAAAAAAAAGAGUUUGCGACCUCGAUGUUGGAUUAAGAUAAAAUUUAAAUGUAGAAG
Molecule: ribosomal RNA, 398 nt
Filed under: Busseola sp. BUTAG7173
Lineage: Eukaryota; Metazoa; Arthropoda; Insecta; Lepidoptera; Noctuidae
Description: partial 16S large subunit ribosomal RNA
Source: RNAcentral